GCCUCUGUAGAGCAAUGGAUCGCGUGUUGGACUUCUAAUCCAAAGGUCGUGGGUUCGUAUCUCGCCAGGGAUG
Trichonephila clavipes is the source of this 73-nucleotide non-coding RNA. The record is from the annotation of a GenBank genome assembly. NCBI's taxonomy places the organism in Eukaryota, Metazoa, Arthropoda, Arachnida, Araneae, Nephilidae.